UGAACGCUGGCGGCAGGCUUAACACAUGCAAGUCGAGCGGGGGAAGGUAGCUUGCUACCGGACCUAGCGGCGGACGGGUGAGUAAUGCUUAGGAAUCUGCCUAUUAGUGGGGGACAACAUCUCGAAAGGGAUGCUAAUACCGCAUACGUCCUACGGGAGAAAGCAGGGGAUCUUUGGACCUUGCGCUAAUAGAUGAGCCUAAGUCGGAUUAGCUAGUUGGUGGGGUAAAGGCCUACCAAGGCGACGAUCUGUAGCGGGUCUGAGAGGAUGAUCCGCCACACUGGGACUGAGACACGGCCCAGACUCCUACGGGAGGCAGCAGUGGGGAAUAUUGGACAAUGGGGGGAACCCUGAUCCAGCCAUGCCGCGUGUGUGAAGAAGGCCUUAUGGUUGUAAAGCACUUUAAGCGAGGAGGAGGCUACUUUAGUUAAUACCUAGAGAUAGUGGACGUUACUCGCAGAAUAAGCACCGGCUAACUCUGUGCCAGCAGCCGCGGUAAUACAGAGGGUGCGAGCGUUAAUCGGAUUUACUGGGCGUAAAGCGUGCGUAGGCGGCUUAUUAAGUCGGAUGUGAAAUCCCCGAGCUUAACUUGGGAAUUGCAUUCGAUACUGGUGAGCUAGAGUAUGGGAGAGGAUGGUAGAAUUCCAGGUGUAGCGGUGAAAUGCGUAGAGAUCUGGAAGAAUACCGAUGGCGAAGGCAGCCAUCUGGCCUAAUACUGACGCUGAGGUGCGAAAGCAUGGGGAGCAAACAGGAUUAGAUACCCCGGUAGUCCAUGCCGUAAACGAUGUCUAC
RNAcentral lists this ribosomal RNA (792 nucleotides) under Acinetobacter baumannii Naval-17. RNAcentral describes it as "bacterial SSU rRNA". It matches the Rfam family "Bacterial small subunit ribosomal RNA", at positions 30 to 816 of the family's 1533-position model. Lineage: Bacteria; Pseudomonadati; Pseudomonadota; Gammaproteobacteria; Moraxellales; Moraxellaceae. The record is from RNAcentral.